GACGAAUGCUGGCUGCGUGCUUAACACAUGCAAGUCGAACGGUGCAGGGGAGCUUGCUCCCCGGAUCAGUGGCGAACGGGUGAGUAACACGUGGGCAACCUGCCCCUCACUCUGGGAUAACUCCGGGAAACCGGGGCUAAUAACGUAUACGCCCGGGAGCGACAUCGCUCCUGGUGGCAAGAACUUCGGUGAGGGAUGCGCCCGAGGCCUGUCAGCUAGUUGGUGGGGGAACGGCCCAACAAGGCGACGACGGGUAGCCGGCCUGUGAGGGCGACCGGCCACACUGGGACUGAGACACUGCCCAGACUCCUACGGGAUGCAGCAGUGGGAAAUAUUGCGCAAUGGGCGAAAGCCUGACGCAGCGACGCAGCGUGAGGGACGAAGGCCUUCGGGUUGUAAACCUCUUUCGGCGGGGACGAAGCGAAAGUGACGGUACCCGCAGAAGAAGCACCGGCUAACUACGUGCCAGCCGCCGCGGUAA
Molecule: ribosomal RNA, 481 nt
Filed under: uncultured bacterium
Lineage: Bacteria
Description: partial 16S ribosomal RNA
Rfam family: Bacterial small subunit ribosomal RNA
Source: RNAcentral